GACGAACGCUGGCGGCGUGCUUAACACAUGCAAGUCGAACGGAAAGGCCCUGCUUGCCGGGUACUCGAGUGGCGAACGGGUGAGUAACACGUGGGUGAUCUGCCCUGCACUUCGGGAUAAGCCUGGGAAACUGGGUCUAAUACCGGAUAGGAGCCAUUUUUAGUGUGAUGGUUGGAAAGUUUUUUCGGUGUAGGAUGAGCUCGCGGCCUAUCAGCUUGUUGGUGGGGUAAUGGCCUACCAAGGCGGCGACGGGUAGCCGGCCUGAGAGGGUGGACGGCCACAUUGGGACUGAGAUACGGCCCAGACUCCUACGGGAGGCAGCAGUGGGGAAUAUUGCACAAUGGGCGCAAGCCUGAUGCAGCGACGCCGCGGGGGGGAGGACGGCCUUCGGGUUGUAAACUCCUUUCGCUAGGGACGAAGCUUUUUGUGACGGUACCUAGAUAAGAAGCACCGGCUAACUACGUG
RNAcentral lists this ribosomal RNA (465 nucleotides) under uncultured bacterium. RNAcentral's name for it is "partial 16S ribosomal RNA". It matches the Rfam family "Bacterial small subunit ribosomal RNA", at positions 28 to 507 of the family's 1533-position model. The record is from RNAcentral.